This 73-nucleotide transfer RNA is filed under the name Deltaproteobacteria bacterium. RNAcentral's name for it is "tRNA-Met". It matches the Rfam family "tRNA". From Rfam's summary of the family: Transfer RNA (tRNA) molecules are approximately 80 nucleotides in length. Their secondary structure includes four short double-helical elements and three loops (D, anti-codon, and T loops). Further hydrogen bonds mediate the characteristic L-shaped molecular structure. tRNAs have two regions of fundamental functional importance: the anti-codon, which is responsible for specific mRNA codon recognition, and the 3' end, to which the tRNAs corresponding amino acid is attached (by aminoacyl-tRNA synthetases). tRNAs cope with the degeneracy of the genetic code in two manners: having more than one tRNA (with a specific anti-codon) for a particular amino acid; and 'wobble' base-pairing, i.e. permitting non-standard base-pairing at the 3rd anti-codon position. Lineage: Bacteria; Pseudomonadati; Myxococcota; Myxococcia. The record is from RNAcentral.
GGCGGUGUAGCUCAACUGGUAGAGCGGAGGAAUCAUAAUCCUUGUGUUCGGGGUUCAAGUCCCUGCACCGCCA